AGCGGCGGACGGGUUAGUAACGCGUGGGAACGUACCCUUUUCUACGGAAUAGCCUUUGGAAACGAAGAGUAAUACCGUAUACGCCCUUUGGGGGAAAGAUUUAUCGGAGAAGGAUCGGCCCGCGUUAGAUAGAUAGUUGGUGGGGUAACGGCCUACCAAGUCUACGAUCUAUAGCUGGUUUUAGAGGAUGAUCAGCAACACUGGGACUGAGACACGGCCCAGACUCCUACGGGAGGCAGCAGUGGGGAAUCUUAGACAAUGGGCGCAAGCCUGAUCUAGCCAUGCCGCGUGAGUGAUGAAGGCCUUAGGGUCGUAAAGCUCUUUCGCCUGUGAUGAUAAUGACAGUAGCAGGUAAAGAAACCCCGGCUAACUCCGUGCCAGCAGCCGCGGUAAUACGGAGGGGGUUAGCGUUGUUCGGAAUUACUGGGCGUAAAGCGCACGUAGGCGGAUUGGAAAGUUGGGGGUGAAAUCCCGGGGCUCAACCCCGGAACUGCCUCCAAAACUAUCAGUCUAGAGUUCGAGAGAGGUGAGUGGAAUUCCAAGUGUAGAGGUGAAAUUCGUAGAUAUUUGGAGGAACACCAGUGGCGAAGGCGGCUCACUGGCUCGAUACUGACGCUGAGGUGCGAAAGUGUGGGGAGCAAACAGGAUUAGAUACCCUGGUAGUCCACACC
RNAcentral lists this ribosomal RNA (671 nucleotides) under uncultured Alphaproteobacteria bacterium. RNAcentral's name for it is "bacterial SSU rRNA". It matches the Rfam family "Bacterial small subunit ribosomal RNA", at positions 94 to 801 of the family's 1533-position model. The record is from RNAcentral. Lineage: Bacteria; Pseudomonadati; Pseudomonadota; Alphaproteobacteria.